AUACGGAGGGGGCUAGCGUUGUUCGGAAUUACUGGGCGUAAAGCGCGCGUAGGCGGCUUAUCAAGUUAGGCGUGAAAGGCCUGGGCUCAACCCGGGAACUGCGCUUAAUACUGGUAGGCUUGAGUCCGGGAGAGGGUGGCGGAAUUCCCAGUGUAGAGGUGAAAUUCGUAGAUAUUGGGAAGAACACCAGUGGCGAAGGCGGCCACCUGGCCCGGUACUGACGCUGAGGUGCGAAAGCGUGGGGAGCAAACAGGAUUAGAAACCCCAGUAGUCC
Molecule: ribosomal RNA, 274 nt
Filed under: uncultured bacterium
Lineage: Bacteria
Description: partial 16S ribosomal RNA
Rfam family: Bacterial small subunit ribosomal RNA
Source: RNAcentral